UACGUAGGUGGCAAGCGUUGUCCGGAAUUAUUGGGCGUAAAGCGUGCGUAGGUGGUUCGUUAAGUCUGAUGUGAAAGCCCUGGGCUCAACCUGGGAAUGGCAUUGGAUACUGGCGACCUAGAGUGCGGUAGAGGGUAGCGGAAUUCCCGGUGUAGCAGUGAAAUGCGUAGAUAUCGGGAGGAACAUCCGUGGCGAAGGCGGCUACCUGGACCAGCACUGACACUGAGGCACGAAAGCGUGGGGAGCAAACAGG
Molecule: ribosomal RNA, 253 nt
Filed under: uncultured bacterium
Lineage: Bacteria
Description: partial 16S ribosomal RNA
Rfam family: Bacterial small subunit ribosomal RNA
Source: RNAcentral